Molecule: ribosomal RNA, 1041 nt
Filed under: Triticum aestivum (bread wheat)
Lineage: Eukaryota; Viridiplantae; Streptophyta; Magnoliopsida; Poales; Poaceae
Description: partial small subunit ribosomal RNA
Source: RNAcentral
AUGGAAAUGGGUUCAUCUACUACAAGUAGUGCUACUGUUGGUGACAAUGAAGCUGCUCAAGGAAUCCGGAGUCUGCGCAAGCCUGAUAAUUAUUUAUAUGCAAGUGAUGCCUUCAUUCAGAGCGACCUACAAGCUGGCACCGAUAAUGAAGGUGUAAUCAGCUGGAUGUGGGAUUGCCCAGCUAUUCCUACUCCAACGGCUCAGGACUUGUAUGUUCACUUACAAGAUAAUCAGGGGAUGAAGAGGGGAUUACUGCAGCAACAACAGAGCAACAUCAAAAGAAUUAAUAUUAGUGCUGAUUCACCCUCUCGCCGCGUAUUUAAUAAUGCUUGCAUGCUUCACGUGCAUGAUAGUUUGUCCAUCACUUGCAUCACAUGCCCACAAGGUUCAUACUGGAGGAGCCUUGAAUGGUGCCGAGUCGAGAGGUGCCCCGAGCUGCUUACUGUCUUUCGUACUGCCCAACAAAGCAAGGGCGAUAGCUUCUGUCAUCAGUUGAGCACAUUCUGGGCAUCUCAACUCUUGAAGGCACGCUACAUCUGGUAUUGGAGUGCAAUGCGUGUGUUCUCCUCUGUAAACAUAGUAUUGUUGCACCUGGACUACUGCCCUAGGCUCAGACAUGUGCUUCCCUUGUCCGAGUCUGUGGACACUUUGCCUUGCCUGGAUACCCUGGAAAUUGUGUGUUGUGGAGAUCUUAGGGAGGUCUUCGCUUUUUUCCCUAAGCAAAAGGAGCAGAAAGUUAUACAGUUUCCCAAGCUAAGGCGCAUCCACCUGUAUGAGCUUCCCAGCCUGCGGCGCAUCUGUGGGAGCAAGAUGUCCGCGCCCAACUUGGAGACCAUCAAGAUUAGGGGCUGCUGGAGCCUCAAGUGCCUUCCUGCUGUCAGCGGAAACAACGAGAAGCUGCCUAGUGUGGACUGUGAGAAGGAAUGGUGGGAUAACCUGGAGUGGGACGGGGUGAAGGCGAACCACCACUCUUCACUGUAUGAGCAUAGCCACUCAUCAUACUACAAGGCCCAGCUGCCAAGAGGCACAGUUUUAAGGUAA